AUACAACAAAUCAAUACCAUGUAACAAACACAAUAUAUCACAUGCUCAUAAUGGAUUAAUUCCUUCUUUUAUUAAAAUAUAGCAUCAAUUUCUUUACAAUUGAUGGUUAUUGCAAAAGUAUUCAUUUGGCAUAAGAGGAAAACUAUUUAACAAAAUCAUGGGUUAUAGAUGAUGGUGUAGUCUUGACUAUCAUGGUGAUACUUAUUGUAACAUUCUUCUGGUGUAAGUCCAAAGUACUUGUCGCUAUCAGGUGAUAUUGCAGAAUUAGAUUCUUGGCCGGUACUAGUGGUUGAAACAUGUGAGUUUUCAGUGCUUGCAACCAAAAGCAAAGCCAAGAUAAUGAAACUGAGACUCUUCGACAUGUUAUAAUUUCUAAACUUAAUUGUAAACAACUUAAUUAAAAUUAAAAGGAGGU
Molecule: long non-coding RNA, 415 nt
Filed under: Citrus maxima (pomelo)
Lineage: Eukaryota; Viridiplantae; Streptophyta; Magnoliopsida; Sapindales; Rutaceae
Description: long non-coding RNA (CMAX_LNC000647)
Source: RNAcentral